GAUGAACGCUGGCGGCGUGCCUAAUACAUGCAAGUCGAGCGAACAGACGAGAGUGCUUGCACUCUCUGACGUUAGCGGCGGACGGGUGAGUAACACGUGGGUAACCUACCUAUAAGACUGGGAUAACUUCGGGAAACCGGAGCUAAUACCGGAUAAUAUUUAGCUUCGCAUGAAGCAAUAGUGAAAGACGGUUCUGCUGUCACUUAUAGAUGGACCCGCGGUGUAUUAGCUAGUUGGUGAGGUAACGGCUCACCAAGGCAACGAUACAUAGCCGACCUGAGAGGGUGAUCGGCCACACUGGAACUGAGACACGGCCCAGACUCCUACGGGAGGCAGCAGUAGGGAAUCUUCCGCAAUGGACGAAAGUCUGACGGAGCAAUGCCGCGUGAGUGAAGAAGGUUUUCGGAUCGUAAAACUCUGUUGCAAGGGAAGAACAAGUACGUUAGUAACUGAACGUACCUUGACGGUACCUUAACAGAAAGCCACGGCUAACUACGUG
Molecule: ribosomal RNA, 499 nt
Filed under: uncultured bacterium
Lineage: Bacteria
Description: partial 16S ribosomal RNA
Rfam family: Bacterial small subunit ribosomal RNA
Source: RNAcentral